UGAAAAUUGGAAAAUAUUUUGGCCAUUAUUU
Molecule: non-coding RNA, 31 nt
Filed under: Mus musculus (house mouse)
Lineage: Eukaryota; Metazoa; Chordata; Mammalia; Rodentia; Muridae
Source: RNAcentral